CAGGGAGACAACAAAAUGUUUAAUAUUAUUAUUUUGUCACCUUAGGUCGAUCGGUAUCUCACGUUCUUAAUUUAUUAAGAAUUUCAUUUCCUAAGUUUUUCUAGGUCACACCCAUUAUUUUCCUGGGCCAUUAGCUCAGGUGGUUAGAGCGCACCCCUGAUAAGGGUGAGGUCCCUGGUUCAAGUCCAGGAUGGCCCAUAUCUCUAUGUUGGGGGUAUAGCUCAGUUGGUAGAGCGCCUGCUUUGCAAGCAGGAUGUCAGCGGUUCGAGUCCGCUUACCUCCACUGAUUACCACCUCUUCCAUAAUCUGUAGAAAGGAAAAUUUUUUGAGUUGUGAUCAUUAUUCUGAACGAAUCUAGCUUCCUAAUGAAAUUAUUAAGAUGCUGGACUCAUUGAAUUAAUUUCAUUGUUUUCAGAGAACCUUGACAACUGCAUAGAUUAUUUUUAAAGACAAUAAGCAUCUUUAAUGAUGCAGAUUUAUUAUUUGUGCAAAUGCAUUAAUAACAAUUCUAUUAAGCUGAUGCUUCAAUUAUGAAGUUAUU
This 541-nucleotide transfer RNA is filed under the name uncultured Prochlorococcus sp. RNAcentral describes it as "partial 16S-23S ribosomal RNA intergenic spacer". The stretch from base 211 to 283 matches the Rfam family "tRNA". The record is from RNAcentral. Lineage: Bacteria; Bacillati; Cyanobacteriota; Cyanophyceae; Synechococcales; Prochlorococcaceae.